This is a long non-coding RNA of Priapulus caudatus, 775 nucleotides long. RefSeq lists it as uncharacterized. The record is from RefSeq and is a predicted model, not a curated record. The transcript is spliced from 3 exons. Lineage: Eukaryota; Metazoa; Priapulida; Priapulimorpha; Priapulimorphida; Priapulidae.
GGGCGGGGGUCGCCCGCGGUGCCGGCCAGGUCGCUCGCGGCGGAGCCGUCAACAUGAACAUGAUGGGGAAGGCGCCGCCCGCGCGCGGUGGCGCCCCCAUGCGACAGCACCCGUACCAGCCGCCGACGACGAGCCGGAGUCGUUUCCAGUAGAUGCCCGUAGAGGGCGCUGCCUGCUGCUGCAUCAAUGAACAAGACUACCUAAUGUAGCACACACGGAUAGCCAGUAUGGACAACAGCUGAAGGCUUGUCGAACCCCGUCAGCUGUGAGCUUGGCAUCAAGUGGCUGCAACUAGUCCACGUGGUUGACAGUGUCAAUCUUCUAGGCCAACACCGCCUUUACCAAGUGUGACCAAGUGCCGGAUGAUGUCUGGAGCUUUCCCGAAUCAUUGUUUUUUUAGAAUAACUCGAGCGAAAUGUGGGAUCGACCUUGCCGCGUUUCGUGAGCAGCCACGACAUCGCGUUGUUUUUUUAUGCAAGCGUUGACACAUGUCGUUUAGAAUACGACGUCAAUGUUGCUUAUGCUACGAUGCAAUGUUGUACGCGGGUGAUGAAAUGCAAUCUCGUCAUAGAAUCUCAGCAACGUUUCUCGAAUGUGCCUGAAAAUUUGUUGCGCGUUGUCGUAUGUGUUGUACAAGUAAUAUGUCUUGAAGAAACAGGGAAUCAUGGAAUCGCACUUUUACUGCAUGUUUUUAUUGUGAAAAGAAUCAUGAACGCGACUUGUAAUGAUAACUGUACAUGUAAAUAAACCUUUCUAGCGUUUUUUAAUCUAUAAA